CACCACCUCCCCUUUGGCUUCAUUUCCUUCACUCUCCACUCCCCCACACUCUCCCCCUACCUCUCCCCACGAGCUGCUGCCCCUCCCAAGCUUCAUGGCUGGCCAUGGCCAUGGAAAGAGCUCCUUGAUGCAGCUCCCUCCUCCCUCAAGCUCAUCCUCACCAUGAGAGCAUCUCUCUCUCUCUCUCUUUUCCCCUAACCCUAGCUGAUUUCCUCACCUCUUCUUCUUCCUCCAUUGCUAAGAUUGGAUCUUGAUGCAGGUGCAUGUUGGUCUAAGCAUGGAGAAGCUUGAGCUAUCCUCAGAUCUGAAGCUCUUGACCAAAAUCCAAAUCGAGUGAUUCAAAGUUCCGCAGAUAGGUAUUGAAAAGAUCUACAACUUGGCGUUGGUCUCAUCCUCAAAUUCGUUACGGAUUUUGCACGAUCAAGAUCUGGUCAGAUCUGACUUUGUCGAAUUAAACCAGGAGCUUGGAAGCGAAUUUUUGAAUGAACCCAAUUGGGGGAUGUUUGGUUCAUACCAUGGUGAUAACCGAGAGAGGUAAAUUGCUAAGUGGUGAUACUCUCAUACCCUUACUAGAUGCGAACAAUUCCGGAGAAGAAGAAGAAGUGGUUCGGACAAGGAUUUUAUUUAUAUUGACGAGAUUCUUAUAUUGAUGAAGUUAAAGAAGUCCAGGGACAAAUAAGCCAAGGCAAGCCAUCUUUUGAUCUCUGUUUUGGUGUCUAGUUGGAUGUCAUUUGUUGAUGUCCAAAGCACCUUGAAUUCUAUGUGUGUUAUUCUCUCUAUUUAUGUCAUCUAUGUGUGUUUCCAA
Long non-coding RNA from Lolium perenne, 805 nucleotides. RefSeq lists it as uncharacterized. Lineage: Eukaryota; Viridiplantae; Streptophyta; Magnoliopsida; Poales; Poaceae. The record is from RefSeq and is a predicted model, not a curated record.